RNAcentral lists this transfer RNA (69 nucleotides) under Dipodomys ordii (Ord's kangaroo rat). It matches the Rfam family "tRNA". Rfam says of the family: Transfer RNA (tRNA) molecules are approximately 80 nucleotides in length. Their secondary structure includes four short double-helical elements and three loops (D, anti-codon, and T loops). Further hydrogen bonds mediate the characteristic L-shaped molecular structure. tRNAs have two regions of fundamental functional importance: the anti-codon, which is responsible for specific mRNA codon recognition, and the 3' end, to which the tRNAs corresponding amino acid is attached (by aminoacyl-tRNA synthetases). tRNAs cope with the degeneracy of the genetic code in two manners: having more than one tRNA (with a specific anti-codon) for a particular amino acid; and 'wobble' base-pairing, i.e. permitting non-standard base-pairing at the 3rd anti-codon position. Lineage: Eukaryota; Metazoa; Chordata; Mammalia; Rodentia; Heteromyidae. The record is from Rfam by way of RNAcentral.
GGGAAUGUGGCUUAGUGGGAAAGUGUUUGCUUAGCAUGCAUAAAGCCCUGGGUUCGAUUCUCAGCACCA